UGCAAGGCGAUGGACUCGAACCACCAUUACCAGGAACUCGUUUUACGCGUUACGUCGUGGCGGAAUGACCGUUACUCCAAAACCCAAUGCAACCUAGCGCUAAACCCUUUUGCUAACCUUGC
RNAcentral lists this transfer RNA (122 nucleotides) under Vibrio phage 1.291.O._10N.286.55.F6. RNAcentral describes it as "tRNA-Cys". The record is from RNAcentral. Lineage: Duplodnaviria; Heunggongvirae; Uroviricota; Caudoviricetes.